UAGCAGAAUGCAGUUCAGAAAGCUGG
RNAcentral lists this non-coding RNA (26 nucleotides) under Mus musculus (house mouse). Lineage: Eukaryota; Metazoa; Chordata; Mammalia; Rodentia; Muridae. The record is from RNAcentral.